Molecule: ribosomal RNA, 246 nt
Filed under: uncultured bacterium
Lineage: Bacteria
Description: partial 16S ribosomal RNA
Rfam family: Bacterial small subunit ribosomal RNA
Source: RNAcentral
UACGUAAGGGGCAAGCGUUAUCCGGAUUUACUGGGUGUAAAGGGAGCGUAGACGGAAUGGCAAGUCUGAUGUGAAAGGCAGGGGCUUAACCCCUGGACUGCAUUGGAAACUGUCAGUCUAGAGUGCCGGAGAGGUAAGCGGAAUUCCUAGUGUAGCGGUGAAAUGCGUAGAUAUUAGGAGGAACACCAGUGGCGAAGGCGGCUUACUGGACGGUAACUGACGUUGAGGCUCGAAAGCGUGGGGAGC